RNAcentral lists this ribosomal RNA (253 nucleotides) under uncultured bacterium. RNAcentral's name for it is "partial 16S ribosomal RNA". It matches the Rfam family "Bacterial small subunit ribosomal RNA", at positions 524 to 776 of the family's 1533-position model. The record is from RNAcentral.
GACAGAGGUGGCGACCGUUGUUCGGAAUCACUGGGCCUAAAGCGCGUGUAGGCGGCAUCGUAAGUCGGGUGUGAAAUCCCUCGGCCCAACCGAGGAAUUGCGCCCGAAACUACCUUGCUUGAGGACCAGAGGGGAGCCUGGAAUUCCUGGUGGAGCGGUGAAAUGCGUUGAUAUCAGGAGGAACACCGGCGGCGAAGGCGAGGCUCUGGCUGGUUACUGACGCUGAGACGCGAAAGCUAGGGGAGCAAACGGG